UACGAACUGUGCGGACGUUAUUCGGAAUCACUGGGCUUACAGGGUGCGUAGGCGGCUCAACAAGUCAGGUGUGAAAGCCCCCGGCUCAACCGGGGAACUGCGCUUGAAACUGUUAGGCUCGAGUCAGCUAGAGGUACACGGAACUUCCAGUGGAGCGGUGAAAUGUGUUGAUAUUGGAAGGAACACCGGAGGCGAAAGCGGUGUACUGGGGCUGGUCUGACGCUGAGGCACGAAAGCCAGGGGAGCGAACGGG
Molecule: ribosomal RNA, 253 nt
Filed under: uncultured bacterium
Lineage: Bacteria
Description: partial 16S ribosomal RNA
Rfam family: Bacterial small subunit ribosomal RNA
Source: RNAcentral